UAUACGCUAAUUAGGUGAGAGAAAAUAAAAAAAAAUGAGAUAGAAAAAUAUUUUGUAGCAUAUAUUAAGCCUUAAUUUUAGGAUGGAACUAAAUUUAAAUUUUUUGCUAUAAACUAAAAAGGGUAUUUAUAGAAUGUAAUAUUUUAAAAGGGUAUUUAUAGAAUAUAAAUAGGGUACUAACCUAUUCUAUAGGUGGUAAAAUUUCCUUCUUUUUUUAGGUUAGUUCCAAAGCAAUAAUGAAUUAUUUGACUACAAAUACAAGCGUUUGUGCAGGAAUCACAUUAUUGCACCUAUAAGUUUAAACCGUUCACGCGUUAUACUCCCUCCAUUCACUUUUACUUGUCAUAUUUCGCUUUUCGAGAGUCAAUUUGAUUAUUUUUUGAUAAAUUGCAUAAGAUUUUCUUAAUAUUUUAAAAUUAAAAUUUGAUAUUCAGAAAUUAUACAAAAAAAUACUAUAAUUUGUAAUUUUUCUCAUAUCAAUAUGAUAAAAAAAAAUACUCCCCCUGUUCCAAUUUAUGUGAACCUAUUUCCUUUUUGGUCCGUUCUAAAAAGAAUGACCCCUUUCUAAAUUUAGUAACAAUUUUGCUUAAACUUACAAUUGUACCCUUAAUAAGAAGCUUUUAUAACCACACAAAUACCCUGGCCUCUUUUUGACUUGUUUAGGACCACAAAUUUCAAAAGUCUUCAUUUUUUCUUAAACUACGUGCUCAGUCAAACAUGUUCACAUAAAUUGGAACGGAGGGAGUACAUGUUAACAUGUUGGUCAAAGUUUAUGUAGUUUGACUCUCGAAUAGCGAAACAUGACAAGUAUAGGUGAACGGAAGGAGUACAUCCUUAAGCUCGGGAGGGUCGGGUGAUUUAAAGGCAAACACAUCACCUACAACUAUCAAAAUAAAGGCAUUCAUGACUACUUGAAUUAUUUUACUAAUCAAUUUAUCAUUUUUAUUAAGUUAAUAUGGCUAGUCGCAAUAAUUAUUUGGUCAUUAUAUUUACAAGGCAACAUAUAUAAAGUCCCCCUUAAACUUAUCCAGACAACAUGUUUGAACACUUAAACUAAACGAACGUUCUUUUAAACACCCCUCCCUUUUUAAAAAAAAAACUUUUCUUUAAUUAAUGUUUUCCUUUUUUUCUUUCUAUAUCCACAUUUUCCCUAAACUUGUACCCUUCUUCUUCCAUCCAACAACCACCCACAGUGUGCUAUACCACCAUAUCAGUCGCCUCCUAUCUUCACUUCCUUCAUCCCCAUCCCCACCCCACCACUCCACAACAAAACAAAGAAAAAACAUACUUUAAUUUUCAUGACAUAGACAGAGAGCUCACCGGCGAAAUUUUCUCGGCGUAAAAGAUUCGGUGCUUCCUUCGGCCUUCGUUACAGGUUUUGAGGUGGGGAGGGAGAACAAAUUUUCCGGCGUAAAAGAUUAAGUUUACAUGAAAACUUUCACUGCUUCCUUCGGCCUUUCACCAUUUUCCGAUCUGGUUCUUCAUCCAUGAAAGUGGUGGGGAUAGGCUGCAAUAAUAACAAAUUCCAUUAGAGUUGCAGAGAAAUGAUAUUAUGUGAAAAUUACCUCAGAAAAGUAGAGAAGGUGACUUAAAUGGUUGUAAUAUACAACAAUGAGGUCAUGCCGGAAAGGGUAGCUGCCGGAACUUUUCUUCCUCAACUUCGCUGAGGUUGUGGGGAAGAACGAAGAAUGCUGGGGUGGGUGAAAAUGAAAAAAACCAUUAUAGAAAAUAUAAAAAAAAAAUGAGUUUUUGACAUGUGGAGGUGCGUGUAGAACACCUCCCAUGUGGUUUUGCACUUCGAAGGAGGUAUUAAAUUCACUUGAAAUGAAAAUGGGGAGGGGGGGGGGGGGGAGGGGGGGAUAAAAGAACUUACGUUUAGUUUAAGUGUUCAAACAUAUUUUCUGGACAAGUUUAAGGGGGACUUUAUGUAUUUUGCCUAUUUACAACUACAACUUGGCAUCUCCUUUAUUAACUAUUUGCAAUAUUUUUUACUCACGCAAUCAAAAUGAAGCAUAGAGUCAUCCAAAUGUUAUGUGUAUUAAUCAAGAAUAGAAAUAUUUAGAAAAGAUAAAAGCAAGUAAAAGAACUGCCAAGCAAACUAGUUUAAGUUUAUUAAGGAAAUCCUUUUUUACUCUUUUGGUGUUCCUUAGGAUGUAGAUAAUUUUUGUAAAGGGAGCCUCUCCCUUGUUUAUUUUCUCUAAAUAGGAGGAAUCUCCAAUCAUAGAACUAUGUUGUUUAGUAUCCUAUUUUCCAAACCAUUUUACAGAAUUGAGUUUGUUCAAUCUUCACUAGGGAUUGGGAGUAUAGCCUAGUCCAGCUCCUAUGUAACUUUGUGAUAUUUAAUACACGAGGUAGGGGUCAUUGCGCCCCCCCCCCCCCACCACCACCAACAAAUCACCACAGGAGGUGAAAGCUUGCGUGGAUGGAUUAGUUAAAAAAAAUGAGUAUAACCUUGUGGAAAUGAGAAACGAGUGUAAAAAAGGCAACCCAGUGCACUAAGCUCCCGCUAUGCGCGGGGUCCGGGAAAGGACCGGACCACAAGGAUCUAUUGUACACAGUCUUACCCUGCAUUUCUACAAGAUGUUGUUUCCACGGCUCGAGUGUAAUAUAAUGUUCAUAGGCAAUUAUGGAAAGUUAACCUUAAUAAAUAAAUACCUAUGUGUCAUAAGCAAUUAUGGAAAGUUCAUUCUGGAAUAUAAUGUAAUACUUACAUGAGAUACGAAUAUCCACGGGUUUGAUUCCAAGGUUUUCUUGUUCUUGUUGAAUUCGUGCAGCAGAAGCCUCCAGUUC
This 2790-nucleotide long non-coding RNA is filed under the name Nicotiana tabacum (common tobacco). Its description in RNAcentral is "long non-coding RNA (NTAB_LNC017653)". Lineage: Eukaryota; Viridiplantae; Streptophyta; Magnoliopsida; Solanales; Solanaceae. The record is from RNAcentral.